CCUACAGGUCCUGGCAGGGCCAUGGGAAUGUUCUGGAAGGUCCUGGCAGGUACAUAAACACUCCCAGGUCCUGGCAGGGCCAUGGAGAGCAGCCCCAGGUCCUGGCAGGUACAUAAACACUCCCAGGUCCUGGCAGGGCCAUGGGAAUGUUCUGGAAGGUCCUGGCAGGUACAUAAACAUUCCCAGGUCCUGGCAGGGCCAUAAACAGGGACAGGUCCCCACAGGUCCUGGCAGGGC
Molecule: long non-coding RNA, 237 nt
Organism: Melospiza melodia melodia
Lineage: Eukaryota; Metazoa; Chordata; Aves; Passeriformes; Passerellidae
Exons: 4
Source: RefSeq, a predicted model, not a curated record